This 567-nucleotide ribosomal RNA is filed under the name uncultured bacterium. RNAcentral describes it as "bacterial SSU rRNA". It matches the Rfam family "Bacterial small subunit ribosomal RNA", at positions 338 to 916 of the family's 1533-position model. The record is from RNAcentral.
CCUACGGGAGGCAGCAGUGGGGAAUUUUCCGCAAUGGGCGAAAGCCUGACGGAGCAAUACCGCGUGAGGGAAGAAAGCCUACUGGGUUGUAAACCUCUUUUUUCAGGGAGGAAAAAAAUGACGUGUACCUGAAGAAUAAGCAUCGGCUAACUCCGUGCCAGCAGCCGCGGUAAGACGGAGGAUGCAAGUGUUAUCCGGAAUUACUGGGCGUAAAGCGUCUGUAGGUGGUUUAAUAAGUCAACUGUUAAAUCUUGAGGCUUAACUUCAAAACAGCAGUCGAAACUAUUAGACUAGAGUAUAGUAGGGGUAAAGGGAAUUUCCAGUGGAGCGGUGAAAUGCGUAGAUAUUGGAAAGAACACCGAUGGCGAAAGCACUUUACUGGGCUAUUACUAACACUCAGAGACGAAAGCUAGGGUAGCAAAUGGGAUUAGAUACCCCAGUAGUCCUAGCUGUAAACAAUGGAUACUAGAUGUUGAACAGAUCGACCUGUGCAGUAUUAAAGCUAACGCGUUAAGUAUCCCGCCUGGGAAGUAUGCUCGCAAGAGUGAAACUCAAAGGAAUUGACGG